Molecule: long non-coding RNA, 550 nt
Organism: Lytechinus pictus (painted urchin)
Lineage: Eukaryota; Metazoa; Echinodermata; Echinoidea; Temnopleuroida; Toxopneustidae
Exons: 3
Source: RefSeq, a predicted model, not a curated record
CUUAAUCAUUUGUCUGUAAGUGAUAGACGCCUUCACAGGAAGUGCACAGGAAGUAGUAGAAAGUAGAAAUAUUUAACAAUCUUCAUGCUUUUGAAGAAGUAUGAUUCACACUCUUUCUGGGUAAGAGUGAUGCUGAAUGGUCUUUGGGUCAAAACAUCACAUUCCAGAGCUAUGAGCUUGCAUGACGUAGAUAAUUAUGGUCAAGGCUUAGCAUCUGUGAAUGGAGAGUGAUAACUGCAUAAAAGGGAGAGAGGAUUUUGCUCCAAUUCACUCCUGCACUGCACCCCAUUCAUGGGGCAGGCAGAGAGGCUUCUUCAUUUUCGGGUCAGAAUUAUAGGUAUUUGACAUGACAUUCGUGUAGCGGGUGAGGCUAUCACCAGAGGAAAUAUGGUCCUCUAGGCCAGAUUGCCAGGGUUUUUUCUAUCUUGUGUUCUUGUACUUGGAAUUUUGUAUGUAACGAUCCAUCGAUAUUAAACGAACCGAAACACAAGGAAUGGUGUCGUGUGUCAUCUUUCUACAUCAGUUUCCGCGUGUUACAUUUAUAUUACAC